GACGAACGCUGGCGGCGUGCUUAACACAUGCAAGUCGAACGCUGAGCCCGCUUCGGUGGGGGAUGAGUGGCGAACGGGGGAGUAACACGUGGGCAACCUGCCCCCGGCUCUGGGAUAACUCCAAGAACUUGGGGCUACUACCGCAUGUGACCGCUGGCCGCAUGGGCUGGUGGUGGAAAGGGUUUCCGGCUGGGGCUGGGCACGCGGCCUAUGAGCUUGUUGGUGGGGUAGUGGCCGACCAAGGCGACGACGGGUAGCCGGCCUGUGAGGGUGACCGGCCACACUGGGACUGAGAGACGGCCCAGACUCCAACGGGAGGCAGCAGUGGGGAAUAUUGCGCAGUGGGCGGAAGCCUGUGGCAGCGACGCCGCGUGGGUGAUGACGGCCUUCGGGUUGUAAACCGCUUUCAGCAAGGACGAAGCGGAAGUGACGGUACCUGAAGAAGAAGCACCGGCCAACUACGUG
RNAcentral lists this ribosomal RNA (465 nucleotides) under uncultured bacterium. RNAcentral describes it as "partial 16S ribosomal RNA". It matches the Rfam family "Bacterial small subunit ribosomal RNA", at positions 28 to 507 of the family's 1533-position model. The record is from RNAcentral.